Ictalurus punctatus (channel catfish) is the source of this 773-nucleotide long non-coding RNA. The record is from Ensembl. NCBI's taxonomy places the organism in Eukaryota, Metazoa, Chordata, Actinopteri, Siluriformes, Ictaluridae.
UGUACUUCCAACUUCUUAAUAUCAUUACAGUUCUACUGUCCUGCAUAUCCUACUAUUCUGUUUUUUAUAGAGUUUCUCUAUUACUAUAAGAUAUUAUUAAAGUUAUUCAUGUGUGUGUAUGAGGAAGAGAGCGUGUGUGUGUAUCGGUUUACUGUACUUCCAACUUCUUAAUAUCAUUACAGUUCUACUGUCCUGCAUAUCCUACUAUUCUGUUUUUUAUAGAGUUUCUCUAUUACUAUAAGAUAUUAUUAAAGUUAUUCAUGUGUGUGUAUGAGAAAGAGAGAGUGUGUGUGUAUGUUGUGUCUACUUGCCCGCCCUUGACUGUACGAGCGUGUGUGUGUGUGUGUGUGUGUGUGUUUUUAGCACUCCUCAGCUCGUACACUUCUUUUUUGACUUUUUUUGACUAUUACUGCUCUUAAAUUGCUCGUAAUUCCAAUCUGUCAAUGUCCGCCUAAUCCCGCUUCUAUGUGUCUAGGUGCCGGUGCCCGUCGUCAGUCCCCUCUCUCUCCGUUACUGGACCUGGAUCAGGGUUUGGACCUGGAUCUGGACACUCAUUACCAGCUUGUGCAUCUCACUGCUGAUAUCAUGAUGCUACUUAACUAUCUUCGCAGCACCCCCCCUAAGAAUGGAGAUCCGGGGUUCCCCCCUCUUCUUCGGUACAGAAUCUGCCCCACGAACGUGCGUGUUGACGCCUCUACACAGUCAGACCCAGAACCCCCCUCCAGCUUCCAAUCCGAGGAUGAUGAUGUUGUCUUCUCCGAUCCGGGCCCCUG